AUUGAACGCUGGCGGCAGGCCUAACACAUGCAAGUCGAACGGUAACAGGAAGAAGCUUGCUUCUUUGCUGACGAGUGGCGGACGGGUGAGUAAUGUCUGGGAAACUGCCUGAUGGAGGGGGAUAACUACUGGAAACGGUAGCUAAUACCGCAUAACGUCGCAAGACCAAAGAGGGGGACCUUCGGGCCUCUUGCCAUCGGAUGUGCCCAGAUGGGAUUAGCUAGUAGGUGGGGUAACGGCUCACCUAGGCGACGAUCCCUAGCUGGUCUGAGAGGAUGACCAGCCACACUGGAACUGAGACACGGUCCAGACUCCUACGGGAGGCAGCAGUGGGGAAUAUUGCACAAUGGGCGCAAGCCUGAUGCAGCCAUGCCGCGUGUAUGAAGAAGGCCU
RNAcentral lists this ribosomal RNA (393 nucleotides) under uncultured bacterium. RNAcentral describes it as "bacterial SSU rRNA". It matches the Rfam family "Bacterial small subunit ribosomal RNA", at positions 30 to 417 of the family's 1533-position model. The record is from RNAcentral.